Small nucleolar RNA from Rattus norvegicus (Norway rat), 119 nucleotides. Ensembl annotates it as small nucleolar RNA SNORA38. The record is from Ensembl. NCBI's taxonomy places the organism in Eukaryota, Metazoa, Chordata, Mammalia, Rodentia, Muridae.
AUUUUCAUAAAAGAAACUGAUGUCAUCAUGUAAGAAUUGGAGGCAAAGAAAUAUGGUAGAUUUGGAAAGCCUGGGACCAGCUUGCCCCUUGCAGGCUCAGGAUCAAUCAUCCCACAGAC